AGUGAACGCUGGCGGUAGGCCUAACACAUGCAAGUCGAACGGCAGCACAGUAAGAGCUUGCUCUUACGGGUGGCGAGUGGCGGACGGGUGAGGAAUACAUCGGAAUCUACUUUUUCGUGGGGGAUAACGUAGGGAAACUUACGCUAAUACCGCAUACGACCUACGGGUGAAAGCAGGGGAUCUUCGGACCUUGCGCGAUUGAAUGAGCCGAUGUCGGAUUAGCUAGUUGGCGGGGUAAAGGCCCACCAAGGCGACGAUCCGUAGCUGGUCUGAGAGGAUGAUCAGCCACACUGGAACUGAGACACGGUCCAGACUCCUACGGGAGGCAGCAGUGGGGAAUAUUGGACAAUGGGCGCAAGCCUGCUCCAGCCAUACCGCGUGGGUGAAGAAGGCCUUCGGGUUGUAAAGCCCUUUUGUUGGGAAAGAAAAGCAGCAGGUUAAUACCCCGCUGUUCUGACGGUACCUAAAGAAUAAGCACCGGCUAACUUCGUG
This 492-nucleotide ribosomal RNA is filed under the name uncultured bacterium. Its description in RNAcentral is "partial 16S ribosomal RNA". It matches the Rfam family "Bacterial small subunit ribosomal RNA", at positions 29 to 507 of the family's 1533-position model. The record is from RNAcentral.